AAGAGAACAUUUUGGUGUUUAUAGCUGCUAUAACAUAAGUGAGAUCAGGAACGAACUUGUUUCAUGGACGUUCUACAACAUUAAAUGUAGCUAUAAAUGGAUAAAAAAAAUAAACAUUCGGCAAAUUGCUGAGGAAUGAAACAUGCCGGGACAUGACUCUGGACGACACCGUCUUGUCGUUGAUUAUUUCCCUAUUCCAGCAUGUCCCGAAGGGUUUUAUUAUCGUGGAGAAUGUGGAAUUGGUCAGCCUCCCGGGUCAGCAUGCUAGGUAUGUUCAGAAGAACGCAAACAAGAAGUGCGUAUGUGUGUCAGUUCACAUACCGGCAGAUCACAAGAGAGCUGAACAUAAACGCUGCUGAAGUGUCUCCUCUCUCAGAACCAGUCCUGGGAGAGGGAGAGAGGGAGAGAGAGAGAGAGAGAGAGAGAGAGAUGUCAGUUUUACGCACUUUUAUUACUUAAUAUGAGGGACAGAAACCUCUUUUGAGCUGUAUAGUAUGACAUAACACCUACAUAACCCCUUCAUAUCAUCUCUCAUACCUAUAUGGAAAUAGUUCUUUGCUUGUAAAGAUGUUGACAAGGCAGCGAAGACAAGUGACAGAUUUUUUGAAAACAAAAUUAUUUGAAUCCUCAUGAUACUCAUGUUAUAACAGUCACAUCAGACGUAUAUACAUUUUACAUACAUACACACAUAUAUAUAUAUAUAUACAUAUAUAUAUAUAUAUAUAUCAGUGUUAUGAUACUGUCAUAAUAGAGUUAUACAUGUGUAGAUUUUCUCGGCGUGAAUUUUUUUUAGUUUUUAGAUUUAGAUUUUUAUUAUGAAGUUUUUUUUGUAAUACUUAUCAAUGCGAUGACGCUGUCAUGGCAUUUAUUCAUACAGUCUCUGUUUUUUUUAAAUUUUCAUUAUUCAGGUUUUUGUUAUUAAACGCUUAUGUCAGUUCUGUGACACGAUACGACACGGCUGCACAUAUGUCCUUUGUGUAUUCAGAUGGACAUUUCUAUAUAAUAUUUUAAAAUCUUUAAGUCGCUGCUACGUCUACGACACCGCCGUGGCAGAGUUAUGUAUAUUCUUCUGGCUUUUAAGUAGAGUGUGCUUAAUUUUAUUGUUUAUAAGAUUGUUAUGAAUUAUGACUGUUGUAAUAUAUUAUCUUUGGCCCUUUAUUAAAGUUAGUUGCAUUUUAAUACAUAUAAACGUUUUCGGAAUACUCAUGACAACAUAACGACCAGGUAAUAACAGUGUUAUGUAUGUGUUAUUACCCUAAAGUAGAGUUUGGUUUUAUUUAUUUGUUUUUUAUUUAUUUAUUUAUUUAUUUUUUACUAGAAUGUGACUCUGUCGGAUGUUAUGCCGUUCUAAUGUCAGAUGUUAUGCCGUUCUGAUGUUAUAACACAAGAUGUUAUAACACAACCUUAUGUCACAUCAUGAAUCAGGAGUAAUGGCUACAUGGGAUGAAAACUGGUAAAAGCAUUCUAUAUGACAGCUGUUGGAUUAAUGCCUUGUAAAUGUUAUGUAGGUUGAUGUCAUGGGUGUCAUGAAGGGCUUACGUCUGUGUUAUGUAGCCUCAUGAGCAUUAAUGAAAUUCCUCAUUCACAGCAUGAAAGAGUCUAUUUAUUAUAUCGUAUAAUAAAUGAUAUAUUACAUCAUAUAUCUGCUAUGAUUAAUUCGUGUUCAUUAACAUGGGUGGAUACGGUUGGAUGUCAUGUGUGUCUGCGGUUGCAGCUCUGUCAGGUUGGACGUGUUGCGAUGAUGCAAUGUUUGUAUGAUUGUCAACGUGCUUGCUUUUGGCCCCGUGCCAGGGCCCCGAGCCAGCCGUUCUCGCCUCCCUUCCCUUUACACCCCCCUCCCCGAUGCCCCAGGCCAUAUGCUUGGAGUUAUU
This is a long non-coding RNA of Ictalurus punctatus (channel catfish), 1871 nucleotides long. NCBI's taxonomy places the organism in Eukaryota, Metazoa, Chordata, Actinopteri, Siluriformes, Ictaluridae. The record is from Ensembl.